UGGGAUCUGAACAAUGAGGAAAGAACAGCAGUUCUGAAAGCCUGUGAAUGGUAAUGGGGUUGCUGUGAAAGCCCUAACAUCCUGAUUACUUCCACGUCUGCUUGUGCUGCUCAGUAGAAAAUUCUGUUUUCUGCAUUUGAAGAUUUUUGAUUCUUUUCUAAUGGGAAAGAUGAUUUCCACACACCUGUGCUGCUGGAACAGGGAAUAAUAAAG
RNAcentral lists this long non-coding RNA (213 nucleotides) under Anser brachyrhynchus (Pink-footed goose). RNAcentral describes it as "lncRNA (ENSABRG00000016522.1)". Lineage: Eukaryota; Metazoa; Chordata; Aves; Anseriformes; Anatidae. The record is from RNAcentral.